Non-coding RNA from Cherax quadricarinatus, 354 nucleotides. The record is from RefSeq and is a predicted model, not a curated record. NCBI's taxonomy places the organism in Eukaryota, Metazoa, Arthropoda, Malacostraca, Decapoda, Parastacidae.
CCUCGGCUGCCCCAGCCACCUCACCCCAGCUGCACAUCAUUUGUACACAGUGGAGAUUGUUGUCCAAAGUGGAACUGCAGUACAUGUAUUACUGAGGAUGGCGUACAUCACGAGCUGAACAGCGUGUGGCAUACCAGUCCCUGCGUCUCUCACAAGUGUACCAGAGCUGGCAUACUCUCCAUUACUCAGAAAUGCCUUGACCCGCCUCAUUCUAACUGUGAAAAGUUUUCUGAAGGAAAAUGUUGUCCAUCUUGGAGAUGUGGACCUGACUGCAGUAAAGUGCAGUGUGCAAGUCGACCCAGCAAGUGGUGUACACCGUACAGACCACCACUGGCAUGCUGUGACGAAUGGAAC